UACGGGAGGCAGCAGUGGGGAAUAUUGGACAAUGGGCGAAAGCCUGAUCCAGCCAUGCCGCGUGUGUGAAGAAGGUCUUCGGAUUGUAAAGCACUUUAAGUUGGGAGGAAGGGCAUUAACCUAAUACGUUAGUGUUUUUGACGUUACCGACAGAAUAAGCACCGGCUAACUUCGUGCCAGCAGCCGCGGUAAUACGAAGGGUGCAAGCGUUAAUCGGAAUUACUGGGCGUAAAGCGCGCGUAGGUGGUUUGUUAAGUUGAAUGUGAAAGCCCCGGGCUCAACCUGGGAACUGCAUCCAAAACUGGCAAGCUAGAGUAUGGCAGAGGGUGGUGGAAUUUUCCUGUGUAGCGGUGAAAUGCGUAGAUAUAGGAAGGAACACCAGUGGCGAAGGCGACCACCUGGGCUAAAUACUGACACUGAGGUGCGAAAGCGUGGGGAGCAAACAGGGAUUAGAUACC
This 458-nucleotide ribosomal RNA is filed under the name uncultured bacterium. RNAcentral describes it as "bacterial SSU rRNA". It matches the Rfam family "Bacterial small subunit ribosomal RNA", at positions 340 to 786 of the family's 1533-position model. The record is from RNAcentral.